CCUACGGGAGGCAGCAGUAGGGAAUCUUCCGCAAUGGACGCAAGUCUGACGGAGCUACGCCGCGUGAGUGAUGAAGGUUUUCGGAUCGUAAAGCUCUGUUGCCAGGGAAGAACAGGUGUGAGAGUAACUGCUCAUGCUGUGACGGUACCUGAGAAGGAAGCCCAGGCUAACUACGUGCCAGCAGGCGCGGUAAU
RNAcentral lists this ribosomal RNA (194 nucleotides) under uncultured bacterium. Its description in RNAcentral is "partial 16S ribosomal RNA". It matches the Rfam family "Bacterial small subunit ribosomal RNA", at positions 338 to 524 of the family's 1533-position model. The record is from RNAcentral.